RNAcentral lists this ribosomal RNA (3008 nucleotides) under Salmonella sp. NCTC 11881. RNAcentral's name for it is "23S ribosomal RNA". It matches the Rfam family "Bacterial large subunit ribosomal RNA". The record is from RNAcentral. Lineage: Bacteria; Pseudomonadati; Pseudomonadota; Gammaproteobacteria; Enterobacterales; Enterobacteriaceae.
UUAAGCGACUAAGCGUACACGGUGGAUGCCCUGGCAGUCAGAGGCGAUGAAGGGCGUGCUAAUCUGCGAUAAGCGCCGGUAAGGUGAUAUGAACCGUUAUAACCGGCGAUACCCGAAUGGGGAAACCCAGUGUGACUCGUCACACUAUCAUUAACUGAAUCCAUAGGUUAAUGAGGCGAACCGGGGGAACUGAAACAUCUAAGUACCCCGAGGAAAAGAAAUCAACCGAGAUUCCCCCAGUAGCGGCGAGCGAACGGGGAGGAGCCCAGAGCCUGAAUCAGCAUGUGUGUUAGUGGAAGCGUCUGGAAAGGCGCGCGAUACAGGGUGACAGCCCCGUACACAAAAGCGCAUGUGCUGUGAGCUCGAUGAGUAGGGCGGGACACGUGGUAUCCUGUCUGAAUAUGGGGGGACCAUCCUCCAAGGCUAAAUACUCCUGACUGACCGAUAGUGAACCAGUACCGUGAGGGAAAGGCGAAAAGAACCCCGGCGAGGGGAGUGAAAAAAGAACCUGAAACCGUGUACGUACAAGCAGUGGGAGCCCCACCACCAAAGCAUUCUCUGGUGUUGAAGGCCCUGCAAAGCAGCAUCGCGGUGGCGGAGCGUCGUUUGCGACGCCCAACACACAAAACAAGCGGUGAAUGCUUUGGGGUGGGGUGACUGCGUACCUUUUGUAUAAUGGGUCAGCGACUUAUAUUCUGUAGCAAGGUUAACCGAAUAGGGGAGCCGGAGGGAAACCGAGUCUUAAUUGGGCGUUAAGUUGCAGGGUAUAGACCCGAAACCCGGUGAUCUAGCCAUGGGCAGGUUGAAGGUUGGGUAACACUAACUGGAGGACCGAACCGACUAAUGUUGAAAAAUUAGCGGAUGACCUGUGGCUGGGGGUGAAAGGCCAAUCAAACCGGGAGAUAGCUGGUUCUCCCCGAAAGCUAUUUAGGUAGCGCCUCGUGAAUUCAUCUCCGGGGGUAGAGCACUGUUUCGGCUAGGGGGCCAUCCCGGCUUACCAACCCGAUGCAAAACUGCGAAUACCGGAGAAUGUUAUCACGGGAGACACACGGCGGGUGCUAACGUCCGUCGUGAAGAGGGAAACAACCCAGACCGCCAGCUAAGGUCCCAAAGUCAUGGUUAAGUGGGAAACGAUGUGGGAAGGCCCAGACAGCCAGGAUGUUGGCUUAGAAGCAGCCAUCAUUUAAAGAAAGCGUAAUAGCUCACUGGUCGAGUCGGCCUGCGCGGAAGAUGUAACGGGGCUAAACCAUGCACCGAAGCUGCGGCAGCGACGCUGAUGCGUUGUUGGGUAGGGGAGCGUUCUGUAAGCCUGCGAAGGUGACCUGUGAGGGUUGCUGGAGGUAUCAGAAGUGCGAAUGCUGACAUAAGUAACGAUAAAGCGGGUGAAAAGCCCGCUCGCCGGAAGACCAAGGGUUCCUGUCCAACGUUAAUCGGGGCAGGGUGAGUCGACCCCUAAGGCGAGGCCGAAAGGCGUAGUCGAUGGGAAACGGGUUAAUAUUCCCGUACUUGGUGUUACUGCGAAGGGGGGACGGAGAAGGCUAUGUUGGCCGGGCGACGGUUGUCCCGGUUUAAGCGUGUAGGUGUGUGUUCCAGGUAAAUCCGGUUCACUUUAACACUGAGGCGUGAUGACGAGGCACUACGGUGCUGAAGCAACAAAUGCCCUGCUUCCAGGAAAAGCCUCUAAGCAUCAGGUAACAUCAAAUCGUACCCCAAACCGACACAGGUGGUCAGGUAGAGAAUACCAAGGCGCUUGAGAGAACUCGGGUGAAGGAACUAGGCAAAAUGGUGCCGUAACUUCGGGAGAAGGCACGCUGACACGUAGGUGAAGUGAUUUACUCACGGAGCUGAAGUCAGUCGAAGAUACCAGCUGGCUGCAACUGUUUAUUAAAAACACAGCACUGUGCAAACACGAAAGUGGACGUAUACGGUGUGACGCCUGCCCGGUGCCGGAAGGUUAAUUGAUGGGGUCAGCGCAAGCGAAGCUCCUGAUCGAAGCCCCGGUAAACGGCGGCCGUAACUAUAACGGUCCUAAGGUAGCGAAAUUCCUUGUCGGGUAAGUUCCGACCUGCACGAAUGGCGUAAUGAUGGCCAGGCUGUCUCCACCCGAGACUCAGUGAAAUUGAACUCGCUGUGAAGAUGCAGUGUACCCGCGGCAAGACGGAAAGACCCCGUGAACCUUUACUAUAGCUUGACACUGAACAUUGAGCCUUGAUGUGUAGGAUAGGUGGGAGGCUUUGAAGUGUGGACGCCAGUCUGCAUGGAGCCGACCUUGAAAUACCACCCUUUAAUGUUUGAUGUUCUAACGUGGACCCGUAAUCCGGGUUGCGGACAGUGUCUGGUGGGUAGUUUGACUGGGGCGGUCUCCUCCUAAAGAGUAACGGAGGAGCACGAAGGUUGGCUAAUCCUGGUCGGACAUCAGGAGGUUAGUGCAAUGGCAUAAGCCAGCUUGACUGCGAGCGUGACGGCGCGAGCAGGUGCGAAAGCAGGUCAUAGUGAUCCGGUGGUUCUGAAUGGAAGGGCCAUCGCUCAACGGAUAAAAGGUACUCCGGGGAUAACAGGCUGAUACCGCCCAAGAGUUCAUAUCGACGGCGGUGUUUGGCACCUCGAUGUCGGCUCAUCACAUCCUGGGGCUGAAGUAGGUCCCAAGGGUAUGGCUGUUCGCCAUUUAAAGUGGUACGCGAGCUGGGUUUAGAACGUCGUGAGACAGUUCGGUCCCUAUCUGCCGUGGGCGCUGGAGAACUGAGGGGGGCUGCUCCUAGUACGAGAGGACCGGAGUGGACGCAUCACUGGUGUUCGGGUUGUCAUGCCAAUGGCACUGCCCGGUAGCUAAAUGCGGAAGAGAUAAGUGCUGAAAGCAUCUAAGCACGAAACUUGCCCCGAGAUGAGUUCUCCCUGAGACUUUAGGUCUCCUGAAGGAACGUUGAAGACGACGACGUUGAUAGGCCGGGUGUGUAAGCGCAGCGAUGCGUUGAGCUAACCGGUACUAAUGAACCGUGAGGCUUAACCUU